Long non-coding RNA from Astatotilapia calliptera (eastern happy), 1837 nucleotides. Lineage: Eukaryota; Metazoa; Chordata; Actinopteri; Cichliformes; Cichlidae. The record is from Ensembl.
GAGGCAGCUGUGCAGCAAAGACACAGAAUAAAUCCAGCUUUGUGUCUUUUUCAUUGUAGCUGAAGUCCGGGACAAACUGUCACGGCUGGGGCGGCAGUCGUGUGGAGGGUGAGAAAGGAGGAUCCAAUAGCAGACAAUGGCGGAGGUGCAAGUGGGUUUUAUUUACAGUGCACAAAACCAAGGUGUGGGCAGAACCGAACAUAAACCUAAACUGGGAAAACUAAUACAAAAUGAAGGACAUGGAGCGAGGAGCAGAGAGACACGAAGAAACAUGGAAUAAUGCAGACUACACGGGAGAUUCACAGAGAAACACAGACGACGCGACGAGAAGCACAGGCAGACACCAACUAUAAAUACACUUGAUCGACCUUUGUUUUUAUUAUUUAUUUUAUUUUAUUUUAUUUUCAGUUGUUACAGACGGGACAGACAUGAGUGAGGGAUAGGAAAGGGAGAAAGAAAGAGGAAGGAAAAGAAAAACAGAAGGGGAGAGGGACAGUGAGAGAGGGGGGGAGAAAAAAAAAAUCUCCUGGAUCACCUGUUGAGAGAAGAAGAAUAGAAAACAAGCAAAAAAAACCCAAAGCAACAUACUAAACACAACACCAUCACAUUAAUCUAGCUAAGUGUAAACAGCAGUAAAUACUAAAUAUUGAAUGUUGUUGUGCAGCACGCAGGACAGACAGCGCACAAUGUGCUUUGAAGUAGCAGCCAAGAAAGGUGUAAUUUAAGUCUACAAACAGUGAACACCCGUGUGCACACCUGUGUGGAUCAGCGCGCUUGUAUUCAAAUGGUUUCCACAUGUAAUGGUCUGCAAGAGGAUGUAGCGAGCCAUAGCCCCGUCCCCCAGGGCAUGAAGCAGGCAUGGAGGAGAUCCAGGCCCCAGACAUCCAGAGGCCCCAGAGUGCAAGAGCCCAAGGAGGACCACCGGAGGGGCAUCCGUGCCACCCUCAUGGGAAGGGCUGAGGAUCCCCAGACAAGGCGUCACCCAGGAGUCACCGAGCAGAAGCUAGAGGGGGCUGCACCGGCGUGCCCGCCGGCUCUGCCGGCAGCCAGCUGUGCCAGAGUGAACCGAGCCGCAGGCCCAGAGGCCGGAGGCCCGAGGGCCCCCCGCACCCCGGAGGAGGCCUGACCGAGCAACAGGUGCCAGGCCCCGCCAGGUAGCCACCGGGAGUGAGCUGGUACAUACCUCGUGUGUUGUUUGUGAAGGAAGGACCCAAAAUGCAGGCAAAUGCUGUAAUGCGAGUGAGCAUUUAUUUACAGGGGUGGCAAAGCGGCAAAAACAGCAAAUGAGGAAUGGGGAGCUACCAAAACUUAGACUGGGGAAAACUAAAGAACAAACCUGAAACGAGUAGUAGGGAGAAACAUGAAGAUGAAAAUCAGUGAGACAUAGAGAAACAACAGUAAAAGGCAACCAGUAAAGGCAACCCACACUAUAAAUACACACACAGAGGAGCACGAAAUGGCAAACCAGAGGGAGGCACAUGUAACACUGAUGUAGCGCUAAUGAGUUAAUACAGGCUAGGGAUUCAUCAAGUUUGCGGACGACACAACGGUGGUGGGUCUCAUUAGCAACAGGGAUGAGACCGACUACAGAAGUGAGGUGAGACGCCUGGCCACGUGGUGUGCUGACAACAAUCUCUCUCUGAAUGUGGAGAAGACGAAGGAGAUUGUUGUGGACUUCAGGAGAAUGCACACCCAACAUGCUCCUCUGACCAUUGACGGAGCGUCUGUGGAGAGAGUGAGCAGCACCAAGUUCUUGGGUGUGCACAUCACAGAGGAUCUCUCCUGGACGUACAACACCACAGCACUGGCCAAGAAAUCACAGCAGCGUCUCUUCUUU